ACCAGACAACCUUGGCUGAUCUUGAAAAGCUAAGCAAGGUCAGAUCUGGUUAGAAUUUGGAUGAGAAUCCCCGGAAAUCCCAGGAUCACCCAGGUC
This 96-nucleotide ribosomal RNA is filed under the name Salvator merianae (Argentine black and white tegu). Lineage: Eukaryota; Metazoa; Chordata; Lepidosauria; Squamata; Teiidae. The record is from RNAcentral.